RNAcentral lists this ribosomal RNA (486 nucleotides) under uncultured Bacillus sp. RNAcentral describes it as "bacterial SSU rRNA". It matches the Rfam family "Bacterial small subunit ribosomal RNA", at positions 897 to 1382 of the family's 1533-position model. The record is from RNAcentral. Lineage: Bacteria; Bacillati; Bacillota; Bacilli; Caryophanales; Bacillaceae.
AAACUUAAAUGAAGUUGACGGGGCCCGCACAAGCGGUGGAGCAUGUGGUUUAAUUCGAAGCAACGCGAAGAACCUUACCAGGUCUUGACAUCCCCUGACAACCCGAGAGAUCGGGCGUUCCCCUUCGGGGGACAGGGUGACAGGUGGUGCAUGGUUGUCGUCAGCUCGUGUCGUGAGAUGUUGGGUUAAGUCCCGCAACGAGCGCAACCCUCGACCUUAGUUGCCAGCAUUCAGUUGGGCACUCUAGCGAGACUGCCGGUAAUAAACCGGAGGAAGGUGGGGAUGACGUCAAAUCAUCAUGCCCCUUAUGACCUGGGCUACACACGUGCUACAAUGGUUGGUACAACGAGUUGCGAGUCGGUGACGGCGAGCUAAUCUCUUAAAGCCAAUCUCAGUUCGGAUUGUAGGCUGCAACUCGCCUACAUGAAGUCGGAAUCGCUAGUAAUCGCGGAUCAGCACGCCGCGGUGAAUACGUUCCCGGGCCUU